AACUGAGGCAUCUUGAAGAUCCUUUUGGACCCUUAGGGAUUCCCCGGUUAAUUCCUGCAGCACUUCUUGAAGUUUCCUCAGGCUGGCUCACGUCAGCCUUCUCCUAGGAUCAUGGGAUUAUCCUGAGGAUCCCACAAAGAAGACAAGUGAGAGUCUCCCACCGACCUACCUCCAUGGAGGUUUCCAUCUCCGCCACACUGCAGGGACUUGUCUCUAGGCAACGGUGGCAUUCAUUGUGACGCCAUCCAGAGCUUACAGCUCAGGCCUCCUGCCCUGAGACUAGCACAUGCAAAUUCGUGAGGCAAGGUUGGGUGCCCAGCUGUCAGAGAUUUCUGCCUGCCUAAACAGAGGUAAAUAGUACAGGCAGAGCCGGCCUGGUAUCAGAAAAAAGCCUGACUGUGAUAAUUCACUGAGGGACACUAAAAGUCUCAACCUUAGAGCUCCCUCCGGUUGUCUCCAUGGUCUGGCCUUACUUCAGCAGGACACAUUUUGAGACUAUGAGGUGGAUGCUGGAAACUGCUUUUCUGACUCCUUGCCCAAAAGAGGCUGUGUGUUAAGAAUCAGGUCCUAUUGAGAGAAGCUGGCUGGGCUUCUGGGUCCAGUGGGGACUUGGAGAACUUUUCUCUCUAGCUAAAUGAUUGUAAACACACCAAUCAGCACUCUGUAAAAAUGGACCAAUCACCACUCUGUAAAACAGACCCAUCGGCACUCUGUAAAAUGGACCAAUCAGCAGAACGUGGGUGGGGCCAAAUAAGGGAAUAAAAGCUGGCCACCUGAGCUAGCAGUGGCAACCCGGGGGGUUCCUCCCAUGGUGUGGAGGGUUCCUUCUUUCGCUCUUCACAAUAAAUCUUGCUGCUGCUCAGCCUUUGGGUCUGCACUACUUUUAUGAGCUGUAACACUGACUGAAAAUGUCUGUGGCUUUACUCCUGAAGUCAGCGAGACCAUGAACCCACCAGGAGGAACAAGCAACUCUGGAGGCGCCACCUUUAAGAGCUGUAACACUCACUGGGAAGGUCUGCGGAUUCACUACUGAUGUCAAGUGGGACCAUGAACCCACCAGAAGGAAGAAACUCUGGACACAUCUGAACAUCUGAAGGAACAAACUCUGGACACACCAUCUUUAAGAACUACAACACUCACCCCAAGGGUCCACAGCUUCAUUCUUGAAGUCAGCAAGACUAAGAACCCACCAGAAGGAACAAAUUCUGGUCACACCAUGGGGAUUGGAAUAUAGUCUGUUGAAAUUGUGGGACCCAUCCACUCCUCACUAGAUUGUAUCCUCAACCCUAUCUGACCUUAUUGCUGCUCACACUCUGUGUCCCAGGAUGAAAUCUCAAGAUGAUGGAGGAGUGCCCCCUUUGACCUGAAGCACCUGCUCAGCUAGGAACCAAAUUCAAGGGGGAGGUGACUUGGACGCUGGCAAGUCUCGACCCGCCCCCCAAUAUACUGGGGAUUCAUGAUCCACAGAAAAAUAGAGAACACAGCCCUGCGACUAAAGCAAAGCCACACAGACAAGCCAUCAAAAUGUUGAGAGACUCAAAUAAAGAAGCACUGAAAUGUGUUAGCCACAUUCUUUUAAGCAGACUCCAUUUGCAGGAACACACACACACAAAGACACAAUACCACACAAACACAUGCAGAAAUCUGACACUCAUAACACUCCCACAGAAACACACAGCCCGGCAGCUUCUGAGGCUGUGUGUUUCUGUAGGAAGCCCCACCUUGGAGAGAGCAACCCCAGGGAACAGAGGCAGGCUCUAACUAAAAAUAUCAUGGGGGCAAGUUUCAUAAAGACUCACUCCUAGAACUCCUGGGCAGGCCUAAGGAAUCCUGCAGAUGAUUUUGGAUCCACAGGGAUUUUGUAGUUUAUUCCUGGGGCUCUGCUUGACAUUUCUUCAGGCUCACUCACAUCUUUCUCUCCUAGGAUCAUGGGAUUAUUCCAUGUAUCCCACAGAGAAGACAGGUGAGAGUCCACCAGCGCACCUCCACAGAGGUCUCUUUCUCCACAAGCUGCAGGGACUUGUCUCUUGCCAACAGUGACAUUCCUUGUGACACUUGCCAGAACUCAAAAUCAGGCAUGGUGCCCUGAGUCUAGCUCAUGCACAUUCGUGAGGCAGGCUCUGGCAUCCGGCUGUCAGAGCUGUCAGCCUGACUAAGCAGAGGAAAAUGCUGCAAGCAGAGCCGGCCUUGUAUCAGGAAAAAGGAUGCCUAUGAAAACCCACUGCGAGACCCUAAAAGUCUCAAACUCAGGGCCUCUUUGGGCCAUCUCCAUGGUCAGGUCCCACUGGAGGAGGAGGUGUUUCAAGACUGUGAGGUGGUCGCUGGAAACUGCUCUUCUGACUCUAUUCCUGAAAGAGGCUGUGUGCAAGAAUCAGGUCCCAUGGAGAUUGGAAUAGAGUCUCUUGUGUUGUUGGGGUUCUUUGGGUGAUAGAAUUAUACUUGAAACCCCAGAGGUGGGCAUCACUAAAAGAUGCCCGAGCUUGACCUCAUGGCAUCCCUUCAUCCUGGGUCUCACAGGGGCUGUCUGGAAAAGUCAGGAACCAUCACAGAGGAAAGUCCAAGGUGAAGCAGUUGUCUCACACCACAGACUGGUCUCUCCUUGGUGCAGAUGAGGUUGACACAGUGACUCAGAGGCUGUCUGUGGUGAUAGUAAGCCUGAAAAUUGUGUUCAGCAGUGCUGUAGUGCUGUUAAGGGUCAUUGUAGAUUUUUCAUGAAAGCAAGGAAAAAACAAGGCUUGCCUGAGGAAAUGAGCUGCCUUGUGCUGGAGUCCAAACUUGGACUGAACUCUUAUGGGUAAAGAUAAGGUAGAGACCAUGUCUCAGAGGUCAUCUUUGAUGAUGCCAAGCCUGAAAAUGAUAUCCAGUAGAGCUGUUGAAGGACACUGUAGAUUGUCCAUAAAAGCAAAGAAAAAUCAAGGUUCACCUGAUAGAAUGAGCUGCAUUGACCUGGAGUUUAAGCAAUGUUCAAUGCUUCCUGUUAGAGGUCCCAAAAGCCUCCUGCAAAUUGCAAACAACCUCAGCCCCCAUAACGAGACAACGACUCAAAACUUGGAGCACCGCCAGACUCCUCAAAGUCCCUUUUGCUCUUUGAAAUCUCUGGAAGCAAAAUAAUCUUUGGCAAGAGGCAGUCCCAUCCAGCCACAGCCCAAUGAAAGAACCCCCACUCAACGAGAAGACCAUGUAGAUGAAAAAAAUCAGAGACUAGAUUGCCAGGCAAAAGCCAGACAGGGCUGCCUGCUUCUCAUCCUACAGGAAUCAUGCGGAAUGCCAAGAGAAGUGAAAAAAAAAAGAGUUUCCUUGUUGGCAGCUGUAAGGGAAUUUACAGUUUUAAAGGUAUCAAAGCUGCCCAGUCAUUAAAUUGUGACAGUGUUUAGAAGGAAACACUCAGGCAAUGGAUUCCCAUUAGGGUCAUUCUCUGUGAACUGAGAAACGUUUACUGUGUCAUUGAGCCAGACACAGGAAAACCUGCACCAACAAGAAACAUGGACAUCAGAGAAAGAAGAGUCAAGUGUGGAGGCCAUAUCCCACCAAGCAUCAAUCCAUUUCAUUCCCAUUUGGCUCCCG
This 3564-nucleotide long non-coding RNA is filed under the name Homo sapiens (human). RNAcentral describes it as "HSALNT0409570". Lineage: Eukaryota; Metazoa; Chordata; Mammalia; Primates; Hominidae. The record is from RNAcentral.